UACGAAGGGGGCUAGCGUUGUUCGGAAUUACUGGGCGUAAAGCGCACGUAGGCGGACAUUUAAGUCAGGGGUGAAAUCCCGGGGCUCAACCCCGGAACUGCCUUUGAUACUGGGUGUCUCGAGUCCGGAAGAGGUGAGUGGAAUUCCGAGUGUAGAGGUGAAAUUCGUAGAUAUUCGGAGGAACACCAGUGGCGAAGGCGGCAUCCUGGACCGGCAUUGACGCUGAGGCGCGAAAGCCAGGGGAGCAAACGGG
Molecule: ribosomal RNA, 253 nt
Filed under: uncultured bacterium
Lineage: Bacteria
Description: partial 16S ribosomal RNA
Rfam family: Bacterial small subunit ribosomal RNA
Source: RNAcentral